Molecule: long non-coding RNA, 478 nt
Organism: Engraulis encrasicolus (European anchovy)
Lineage: Eukaryota; Metazoa; Chordata; Actinopteri; Clupeiformes; Engraulidae
Exons: 4
Source: RefSeq, a predicted model, not a curated record
CCAAUGGAACCCAGAACCCUCCGGAGUUCAUCAGGACCUGUCGGCAUGAGUGAGGCGAACACAUCGUGCGUUGGAGGAAGAGUUGCAGUGACGACUUGGACCACAGGCCAGAAGCCUGAAAUAGAUUCUUUGAGAAUCUUAAAAGUCAAACAACUGGGCCUUGCGGGGAAGACUGAUGACGUGAGAAAAAAAGGAAAAAGCUGAUGAGCAGACGUGAGCGGCAGUGGUGCUGGUGGCGCAGGAUGUCCUGGAGGAGGACGACCUCGACUACCUCAAAGGAGCUGAUGCCAGCCUUGUGUCUGAUGGGGAAACAAGUGCACAUUUGUUGUGCUCUGUCUGAGAUGGAGAAGUGUGCGCCUUGCUGGCGUACUUCAUUGAUGCCAGCAAGCCCAGCCAGCGAGUGACCGAUAGUGGCCGGUUCUCCCUUCGUGACACCCCCCCCCUUCUGCGGCCGACAAAGCUUGAAAUAUGAUUAAAU